GACGAACGCUGGCGGCGUGCUUAACACAUGCAAGUCGAACGGAAAGGCCCUGCUUUUGUGGGGUGCUCGAGUGGCGAACGGGUGAGUAACACGUGAGUAACCUGCCCUUGACUUUGGGAUAACUUCAGGAAACUGGGGCUAAUACCGGAUAGGAGCUCCUGCUGCAUGGUGGGGGUUGGAAAGUUUCGGCGGUUGGGGAUGGACUCGCGGCUUAUCAGCUUGUUGGUGGGGUAGUGGCUUACCAAGGCUUUGACGGGUAGCCGGCCUGAGAGGGUGACCGGCCACAUUGGGACUGAGAUACGGCCCAGAGUGCUACGGGAGGCAGCAGUGGGGAAUAUUGCACAAUGGGCGGAAGCCUGAUGCAGAAACGCCGCGUGCGGGAUGACGGCCUUCGGGGUGUAAACCGCUUUCGCCUGUGACGAAGCGUGAGUGACGGUAAUGGGUAAAGAAGCACCGGCUAACUACGUG
Molecule: ribosomal RNA, 468 nt
Filed under: uncultured bacterium
Lineage: Bacteria
Description: partial 16S ribosomal RNA
Rfam family: Bacterial small subunit ribosomal RNA
Source: RNAcentral